Cuculus canorus (common cuckoo) is the source of this 1429-nucleotide long non-coding RNA. RefSeq lists it as uncharacterized. The transcript is spliced from 3 exons. The record is from RefSeq and is a predicted model, not a curated record. Lineage: Eukaryota; Metazoa; Chordata; Aves; Cuculiformes; Cuculidae.
GCGGCGGGUCGCGUGGCAUGGUGCGGGCGGGGAGAGCCGAGCCUCAGCCCAGCCGCCGCAUGGCCGGGGCAGCCUCCUCCCGGGUGUCUGGUUUCUGCCGGCGGAGCAAUGGGGAAGGAGCCGGGGUGUGCUGCCACGUUGGAGCUACUUGCCUUCCCAGAGAAAGUUUCUAAUCACCUCAGUGCUGAUAUUUUUAAUUGUGUACAAUGUCCUCUCCACCAAGGAUCCCCUCGCACAGCCUUUUCCAAGGUCACUUCCUGACUGUGGCUCUGCAGGUGCCACAGGUGUAGCAAAUUCCUUUACCUACCUCUAAAACUUCUUCUCUGAGGUGAAGAAUGACAGAAGAAAAAGACAAGAUACACAAAACUGACAAGGAAUUUGUCUGAUGGUCAGAAUAUGAAGAAAACAACUCAAGAAGCAUUUUCAUAUUUGCAGCCCUGAGUUCAAAAUACACAGCUGGUGUUGCCAGGAGGUAGCACGCCUCACACUCAGUUGCUUUCUCUGAAAGCAAUAUAUCUUCAGACAUGAUUUCUCUCUGCCUCAUCUUUCUGAAUCUUUGUUGCUGUUCAGCCUCUGCAGCACUAACCUUCAUCUCAGAUAAGGGCUGAAACUCAUGCUAAGGCAGCUGGUGCUGCUGAGGGCUGGACACAGUUCACCUCCUCUACUGUUUGCAGUACCACUGUAGCAGCACAACUCUGGCUAAAACUCGGAGUUUUCACUUUGCUUGUUUAUAUAGUUCUUGAGCCAAUGAUGUUGGAGGAUCCUUUCUCUCCUGCCUGUCCUGUUACACAGUUGGCUGCGUGACACUGAUGGCGCUGGUGGGGCUGCUAGGUUUUGCCACAGGGGUGAUUUGCUUUGGGUGAGAGGAUUUGAGAAACUCUUGUCGUUCAGCAACCUGACAGAUGCAACUUAAUGCUCUGCUGUUAAAAAUGCCACCUGGAUGCAACCUGAGUCAGUGAUGAAGGUCUAUGGGAAACUAGAAAAAAAUCCAUGAUUUAGAGACAGUGGCAAAGAAAUGGCAGGAACCCAUUCUUCAAGGCCUGCUGCGGUCACCCUGUUGAAGGGCCAUUGUAUGUUCUGUUUGUUUGCUUGCUUCAUUAUAGUUCCGAUGUAUUUAGUGUAGCAAGUAAUCUGGAGGCUAAGCCUUCUGAUUGCAAUGCAUUGUUGAUUGUAGUAAGCUGUACCCUCACUAUAUGCAACACAAAUUAUGUAUAAGACUUCCUAAUUACUGUUUUCCCCCCUUAGUGCUCCUGUGCUAGUACUUACAGGUUUGCUGUAGGUAUAAACCAGACCGGUAAGGGGACCGCUGGCAACCCAUGACAUGAACAGCGAUGUCAUUGUGGGAAUUGCAUUAACAUAAAUCAGUUCAAAGACUAUGGAAAAAUAACUCACUUCUUCAGUCUUCCCUUACAGUCUCCCGAUGGCUGAC